RNAcentral lists this long non-coding RNA (3842 nucleotides) under Homo sapiens (human). Its description in RNAcentral is "long non-coding RNA NONHSAT195374.1". The record is from RNAcentral. Lineage: Eukaryota; Metazoa; Chordata; Mammalia; Primates; Hominidae.
UGGUUCUACUGACUGAAGUGAUCCUAUCUUGUGACUCAUGCAUGGCACGUCUAUAAGUCAAGCUGGAAUCCUCUAAAAUAAGUCACAUGGGAAAAAAUUCUGAUCUUAUUCUAGACGAAGAAUGAAAAGCCAGGAAGCUACAUAACCCAAGAGAGAAGUUAUACAUACUCAUGAAUCAAUGUGUACAAUGGAGAAUUAAUACUGAAAACAAAUGUAUUUUAUUCUACUUUUUAAAAAAUUGUUGAAAUGGAGCCCAGCCUUCCCACUACCACUUGUUGCAACUCCCACACUUCAUAUGUACACCACCUCUUUCCUUGACCCUUGAAAGACACCAUGUGGUUUUCACCUGAGAAUGAUAUAAAUAUGAACACUCUAGAUCAAUUGGCUGCAUCAGGAUAACCAGCCAACUUUCUCAGAAGAAACAAUCAAAGGAACCAGGAGGAGUUUUACAUUUAAGGCAGACAACUAUAAAAUCACUGAAAAGGUUGAAACAGAACCAUUCAAGAGAGGGCCAGACUCAACCACAGAGAAAUCCUCAUUUUAGUUUUCACAGAAACUUGCAUUGACUCAACUGUAGACGCAGAGUAGGUAGACGUGUAGAUGUAGUGAGGGUUGAUAUCUUUUUGGCCAAACUCAACAGAGGUGGUGCAAAGGAAUGGCGGGUAUGUGCAAACAAAUGCUUAUUCUGAUAGGCCUUGAAAUCUGUGCUGGAUCAGAAGGGAACAACAUGUGAGGGCUGACUGUGGAAGCCUCUGAUAACAUGCUGUGGAGGGGAGAUUUCUGUCACCAGGAACGGGAGAAGGUGUGGAAUUACAUUCCCUUAACCAAAAACAGAGGGAGGAACAGGAAACAUGGUUUUGCUGCAGUGAGAAGGAAGAAGGAAACCCAUUUACUUGCAGGUCUUAGGCUGUGAAAGAAGAAGAAGGAAAAAUAGCCACCAAUGAAAAAGGCUACAGAGGAGGUGGCUGGACCCAGUGGAUGGCAGGCUUCAUAGGGUGGUACAAAGAAGAGAAGACCAGGGAAGAGAAGCUCAUGAAGGAAACAAACAUGGCUGUCUGGUUUGGAAAAGCACAUUUGAUAGUUUAUGAAGUCACAGAGGAGAGUGACUCUUGCCUCGCCACCCACUUAUUCAUCUGGAAGGAGGCUUCCAGGUGCCUUUCUAGGAUUUUAGCACAUGGAAGAAAUGUCCCUACCCAUGCAUACAGAAACGCAUAAGAACAGGAAGUGACGUAUUGUUUAUCAGGAAAAACAGUAUUCAUGUAUUAUUUACAAAAAUUGAGGCUGAUCUCCAAGCUCUACUGUGGAAAGAGUUCAUCAAGUUCCUAGACUGAAGAAAGCUAAUUGUAAGAAAUACAUAUGUAGUAUGCACAAGUUUCAUUAUAAAUAAGAGUAAAAACGUGCAUUGUAUAUGUGAAAAAGUCAUUAAAAUGACAAAAAUCUAGGACACCUGUGCAUUUUGAAAUAUCUCAUUUUGUAUCAAAUACUUUGGCAGUUCUGGAUUGAUAACCAAGUUUAUAUUUCAGCAAACAGGGGACCUCAAGAGCAUAACUUAAUCUCAGAGUUGUUCACCUCCGUGCAGGUAACAAAUUAAAAAAUUAAAAUAUCAUAUCCCAAAAUGGAAAUAAAACAGAUAGAAUGCCGAGUAUAUAUUAAAUAAGGCAAGCUAUUUAUGAUGAGCUAACUCACUUGCAAGUUACCAGAGAGCAUGGAGUAAAUCCUUUAUUUCUCAUGUCCUCAUUGUGCCUAAGACUGCGUUUCUGUACACACAUUAAAAAAACAGGAAAUCAAUGGUUCCCAAUGGUGAUGUGUGAACUCUUCAGGAUCUGGAGGAACAUUAUUAAAUUGCUCCAUUAGCUUUCUCUUGUUUGGGUUGAAAAUAAAAAUUGUGAUGCCGGCAGAACCAAUGGAUGAAGAGGGCUGGCUAUAAAUCUAUGUCAAUGUGGGAAAAAUUGGCUGAAAAUCAUAUGUGUGAAACAACAGUCAGAUGCCAAUAACCAGGAACCACCUGCAGGACAAGCUAAGCCCAGAAAUGCUGCCUUCACCUGAACUUCUGCCUCAGUGCGAGACCUGACCUGAUUUCUUGCCUCUUUCUCAUACCAACAUUUCCAUCCAGUGGGGAGAAAUGUACCUUGCUGGGUGCAAAAAGUGCCAAUGCAAAAGAAAAUGCAAGACUGCGCAUACUUAACCCCUCCUGGAAGAACAAACUUUUUUCAAGGAAUCCCCACCCCUGUCUCCACCUACCUGCCCAAAAGUCCUUAAAAAUUUCCCUUUACUCUACUUCCAGGGAGAAGGUGCUUUGAGCAUGAGCUCCCGUUCUCCAUUACUUGAUCAAUGAAUGGAAUUUCUGCACUGUUUUGCCAAAUGUUGAAUAGAAGAGCAAUACUGGGCUUACAUCAAAGAAGCCCAAAUAAAAGACAGAUGCUGCACAGUGCACAUGCUUAAGCAGAACAGAGAAGUGAAGACUGAGUCUGAAAUGGGAAAGAUAUCCCCACACAAGUCCAGCACAGGCUGUUAGAACUCUAUAUCUCUUCCCUGACACCCAGCCAUCAACUAGAGGCUGUUCCCCUACUGCCACCCCCUGCAGCCUGCCUACUGGUUUUAUAAUCACAGUUCUGGAAGCUUUGAAGUCCAAGAUGAAGGUGGCAGCAGCUUGAGUGUCUCAAUCCAUAACAUGGAUAUUUAAUAAAUGUUCUUUGACUCGUCAAAAGCUGUUUCCCUCUCAGAUGUCACAAGUGCCACCACAGCUGACAGGACCCCCUUCAGGAGGGAAACAAUAUAUGCUCAAGUUCUCAAAGACUCCCAUGAGUAUAAGAAGAAGGUCCAACUAGUGUAUAAAGAGGGGGUCCCCAGUUUGAAAUGUCUUGUUACUGCUGACAAGACCUGCAUGACUGACCAUUUGCUCCCUAAGAGAUGAAAACUGACAUUGCUUUGAAGUUCAAAAUGACAUUGCCGAAACAAGAAGAAAUGGAAAAUAACUGCAGCACGUUUAUGACAUUCGUUUCUUUCUCCACAUGAAACAUACAAUGAGAACACUUUAUAGAUGAAUUGUGUCUUCGAUUGAAUAGAGAAUGGUGGACUAGCUUUGGUUUUAUGGAAUUGGAUAAUUUGUCAUAGUUUCUGUCCCUGGAAAAAUGAGAACCCAAAGGAAAACAAGUGGAAAGCCUUUAAAAAAUAGUGAUAUAAUACACAGCUGAUAUUUUUGGUUCAUAGAAUACUUUAAAGUACAUCAUUUACAAAGCAAAUUACUAAAUUAUAAGAAAUGCUGUCAUCAUCAAUAAACAUUCACAGAGCUUCAGGUUUUAACACAAAGCAUUCCUCAUAUUUCAGGUGAUAUUAUUUAUGAAAAAAUUACUUGGAGAUUGCUCCAAGGUUAUCACAUUCUUUUCAAACCAUCAAUUCCCUAUUAUUAUUUACUAUUAUUAGUUAUUAUUUAUAAAUACAUAUGAAUACACAAUGAAAGCAUGCUUUAUGUAUAGCAUAUAAAUAUAUUUGAACUUUACUUUCCCCACAUACUAUCUAUCCUGCAAUAUUACACCACCAGUAAAAGAGUAUCUAAAUAUUAAUUGCUCCUAUCACAAUAGUGGAAACUAGAAGAGAUAAGUUUUCCCAAAUCUGAGUAGAAAACCAUGGUUAGCGGAUAUCCAUUUGUCCAUUUACGGAAUUAUAGCAAUAAAAUCCAGCCAAUAAUUUUUAGUUUGCUUAUUAUGUAGUGGCAAAACAUAAUGUCUUUUUCUCACCCAUUACAAGGGUCACAGCUGACAUACCUAUAACAAAAACCAGAUGAACAAGAAAAAUGCAUAAUGUGUUCAUUUAAUAAAGUUUUAAGUGACGUGGGAGCCUUC